GAUGAACGCUGGCGGCGUGCCUAAUACAUGCAAGUCGAGCGAACGGACGAGAAGCUUGCUUCUCUGAUGUUAGCGGCGGACGGGUGAGUAACACGUGGAUAACCUACCUAUAAGACUGGGAUAACUUCGGGAAACCGGAGCUAAUACCGGAUAAUAUUUUGAACCGCAUGGUUCAAAAGUGAAAGACGGUCUUGCUGUCACUUAUAGAUGGAUCCGCGCUGCAUUAGCUAGUUGGUAAGGUAACGGCUUACCAAGGCAACGAUGCAUAGCCGACCUGAGAGGGUGAUCGGCCACACUGGAACUGAGACACGGUCCAGACUCCUACGGGAGGCAGCAGUAGGGAAUCUUCCGCAAUGGGCGAAAGCAUGACGGAGCAACGCCGCGUGAGUGAUGAAGGUCUUCGGAUCGUAAAACUCUGUUAUUAGGGAAGAACAUAUGUGUAAGUAACUGUGCACAUCUUGACGGUACCUAAUCAGAAAGCCACGGCUAGCUACGUG
Molecule: ribosomal RNA, 497 nt
Filed under: uncultured bacterium
Lineage: Bacteria
Description: partial 16S ribosomal RNA
Rfam family: Bacterial small subunit ribosomal RNA
Source: RNAcentral